RNAcentral lists this ribosomal RNA (470 nucleotides) under Escherichia coli. Its description in RNAcentral is "bacterial LSU rRNA". It matches the Rfam family "Bacterial large subunit ribosomal RNA", at positions 1 to 501 of the family's 2925-position model. Lineage: Bacteria; Pseudomonadati; Pseudomonadota; Gammaproteobacteria; Enterobacterales; Enterobacteriaceae. The record is from RNAcentral.
GGGUUGUGAGGUUAAGCGACUAAGCGUACACGGUGGAUGCCCUGGCAGUCAGAGGCGAUGAAGGACGUGCUAAUCUGCGAUAAGCGUCGGUAAGGUGAUAUGAACCGUUAUAACCGGCGAUUUCCGAAUGGGGAAACCCAGUGUGUUUCGGCACACUAUCAUUAACUGAAUCCAUAGGUUAAUGAGGCGAACCGGGGGAACUGAAACAUCUAAGUACCCMGAGGAAAAGAAAUCAACCGAGAUUCCCCCAGUAGCGGCGAGCGAACGGGGAGGAGCCCAGAGCCUGAAUCAGUGUGUGUGUUAGUGGAAGCGUCUGGAAAGGCGCGCGAUACAGGGUGACAGCACCGUACACAAAAAUGCACAUAUUGUGAGCUCGAUGAGUAGGGCGGGACACGUGGUAUCCUGUCUGAAUAUGGGGGGACCAUCCUCCAAGGCUAAAUACUCCUGACCGACCGAUAGUGAACCAGUAC